This 464-nucleotide ribosomal RNA is filed under the name Allium schoenoprasum. Its description in RNAcentral is "eukaryotic LSU rRNA". The stretch from base 324 to 464 matches the Rfam family "Eukaryotic large subunit ribosomal RNA", at positions 1 to 141 of the family's 3401-position model. Lineage: Eukaryota; Viridiplantae; Streptophyta; Magnoliopsida; Asparagales; Amaryllidaceae. The record is from RNAcentral.
UGCAGAAUCCCGUGAACCAUCGAGUCUUUGAAUGCAAGUUGCGCUCGAGGCCAUUAGGUUGAGAGCACGUCUGUUUGGGCGUCAUGCCUUGCGUCAUUCUAGCCAUCCAUCUACUCUCUGUGGGUGAUGGGGGAUGUGGAGAUUGACCUUCCGUGCUUUAAUUGUACGGUUGGUUUAAGUGAAUGUUGUCGUUAGGUCUACGCGCGGCGAAUGGUGUAUCGCGUUAACACACGAUGUCUCUAACUGCGGCCAGGAGUCCUAUGCACGGCGUAAUAGUAACUGAAACCAUUUACGAUGUUUGCCUAAGUUGCAAGCACGGAACAUGACCUCAGAUCAGACGGGGCAACCCGCUGAGUUUAAGCAUAUCAAUAAGCGGAGGAGAAGAAACUUACGAAGAUUCCCUUAGUAACGGCGAGCGAAUCGGGAAAAGCCCAGCUUGAGAAUUAGGUGGUUGUGCCACCUAA